RNAcentral lists this ribosomal RNA (646 nucleotides) under uncultured Tatlockia sp. RNAcentral's name for it is "partial 16S ribosomal RNA". Lineage: Bacteria; Pseudomonadati; Pseudomonadota; Gammaproteobacteria; Legionellales; Legionellaceae. The record is from RNAcentral.
UUUCUGGCGAGUACGUCCACUAUCCAAGAGUAUUAGUCUCAGUAGCCUCCUCCUCGCUUAAAGUGCUUUACAACCAUAAGGCCUUCUUCACACACGCGGCAUGGCUGGAUCAGGGUUCCCCCCAUUGUCCAAUAUUCCCCACUGCUGCCUCCCGUAGGAACUAGUGUGUCCUUCAUAGGGCAGGCUGGUGACGGCGGUAUAUAGGCUGGGGGGGGGGGAAAAACCGCGGGGGUGUUUUCCCCAUCCCCCCCCACAAGAGAGGGGCCCCCCCGCUGUGGUGGGGCAAAAGACAAACUUUUUUUUUUUUGACUUUUUUCGGGUAUUUUUUUGGUGGGGGGAUUGUUUUUUUUCUUUCUGGGGUUUUUCCUAAGCAAAAAGGGGGGUUUAAACAAAAAAAAAAAGAGCGGCCUUACAAUUGGUGUUUCUUUUACUUUAAAAUCGAAAAUUCCCGGGAGGGGGGGGGCUAUAACGUAAAUGAAUUUCAAUGCUGGGGGCUAGGAUAAGGACCCUACAUUACAAAAUAAAAUCCUGGAGUUCACCCCAGCGUUUUCAUAAGGCCUCCUAUCCUACUCAAUUAUAAGUCCCCCUAGGGCCACAAAUACCUAUCCUUAAAGAAACCGUCAAAUAGAAUCCCUAAAAUCUCAGU